Molecule: transfer RNA, 87 nt
Filed under: Alphaproteobacteria bacterium
Lineage: Bacteria; Pseudomonadati; Pseudomonadota; Alphaproteobacteria
Also listed under: 1 other name
Description: tRNA-Leu
Rfam family: tRNA
About the family: Transfer RNA (tRNA) molecules are approximately 80 nucleotides in length.
Source: RNAcentral
GCGGCCGUGGCGGAACUGGUAGACGCGCAGCGUUGAGGGCGCUGUGGAGGAAACUCCGUGGAGGUUCGAGUCCUCUCGGCCGCACCA